AUUUUUUUAGAUUAUUUUUAUUUUAUUUAUUUUCAAAUGAAUUAUUAAAUUCUAUCUCUGGGAUAUAUUCAUACAUAGUAAUAAUUUUGUUAGCGUGGCUGUCUUUCAUAAUCUAGCAGAAAGUGUGCUUGAGUGUGAAAGAAAACAAGAGGGGAAAAAACAGGGAGAGGGAGAAUAAAGGAGCCUUGGCAUUUUUAUUGCACUUGUACAUUUGAGGAUCCAACUAAUUAAGCAAAUAAAUCUUGGAGUCAGUUUACACUGCCGGCAAUUUGAGCUUCUCUGCGUCCAUUGAUCGCCGCUCUUCGCCUGGCUGAGCAUCACUGACCUGGAGAGAGUGAAACUGAGAUAUUGCACAUGUAAGAAUCUCUCAGAGGGGUGUGCUUGACAUAGAGCCAUGCCAUCGGUUUCAACGCCCAAAGGGUCACGGUAGAGCCAUAAACAAGAUUUAAAAACUUUGAACAUCAAGCAAUUUGAUGUCCUUCCACUUUACAAGGUUGUUGUGUGAUCAUGAAACAGUGGCUAGCAAGGAAAACGGUCUUCAGAAUAACCCUACACAGGUCUCAAUGGAUUCUCUUUGUUCCACCAGUCUAAGGGACAAAAGGACCUCUGGGCUUGCUGUCUGUCCCGAGUCAUGGAGAGCUCAAUCAUGCGCCCUGCAGGACCCCACACACUGUGUGAUGGAUGCAAUGGCCUCGAGGGAGAUUUAAAGGGUCUUCAUAUACUCUGACUCAGCAGGGGACAGCAAGACAUUUCCCGUAAUCCUGUCUGUACUUUAUAUUCUUGAUACAGCUGUAAAGAGCAUCCAUCUAUCUAUCUAUCUAUCUAUCUAUCUAUCUAUCUAUCUAUCUAUCUAUCUAUCUAUCUAUCUAUCUAUCUAUCUAAAUAUACAUAUAUGCAUAUCAGUUUAUAUAAGUUCCUUUUUUUUCUGUAAUUUGAAUAUCUUUUGAAAUUAUCUACAUAUAACUAUGUAUCGAUCUAUCUUGCUCAAAAUACCUGUUUAGUGAAAGAAGGGUCUAAUGUAACAAGCACACAGAUUUUAGAGCUCAGUCUAACAUUUAUAACACAUACCUUGCAGAAAAAAAAAAAAAAUUACUGUCCAGUCCACUAUUAGACCUGGAGGUUAUU
Cyprinus carpio carpio is the source of this 1125-nucleotide long non-coding RNA. The record is from Ensembl. Lineage: Eukaryota; Metazoa; Chordata; Actinopteri; Cypriniformes; Cyprinidae.